GGGGCGGGCUUUGAGUGUUGCGCUAUGGAAAAAUCGAUGGGGAUACUGUAAUAAUGUGAGGGCUGCUUUAUGGAAACAGGUGCUGUCCAGUUAUUGAAAACAUGAUCUAGCCGAAAGGAUCGCCAAGGGAGGAAAGAAGACAUGCGUUGAGGUAAGCUAUCAGGCUAAAUCAUAGUUUUAUUCUAGGAAUUACUGAGACGUGUUGCCAAUUUCAGUAGCCUAAUGCAAACGAUGUUGUAACGACACAUUUAUCUAAUGCAAUGUGUUAUCACAAACAUCUAUAAACAAAUCUGAUAUAGCCUAUAAUAUAGUGAUUGUGGAUAUGGUCCUCUUAAAAUGCUCUUCGCCGUCAAAUAAAUAUGAAAGUGCCAAUUUAGUAAACGUUACAUAUAGUGGAGGUAGUAAACUAAUCUAAUACAAUUACCAUUCUCAAUUAUAAUCGACAGGUAAAUAGUUACAUUUGUCUGCGUCAGAGCGAGUGCUAUUGUGACAAACGCAAUGGAAUCCGGUGGGAAUUGUAGCCUACCCCGCAGAUACGGGAAACCCCUCAGAAACAUAGCAUGAAGCCGAUUACUUAAUAUAGGCUAUUUGUUCUGGAUAGAGGAAUGUUAGGCAGGCUAAAACUGUUUGCGACGAGAUGGCGUGUGAAGCGGGGAUUGGGAAUAGGAUGCUGCGCAAGAGAUGGAUGUGCGUAAAUAGCGAGGAGGAUGUUACGCACUUGCACUUAAUAUUGGCAUGAUCACUACUUAUUUCCUCAUGGCCGUUUAAAACAUCAUCAAACACAAUAAAGCCCAAUAAUAAAAUCAAGACAGAAAAUUAUCCAAAAAAGUACUUGUUUACAAAACAAGCUGUUACCGAUUAAAUUAAGUUACUGUAGACUAUAUAGUCAUGUUUAUAAUUAGUAAGUUCACGUUUAUAAAAGGACUAUGCGUGCUACUUACAUAAUAUAUUAAUAUGAAUCUUGUGACUUAUGUGAAUAAAGGCCAUACUGACAUAUUUGGUGUUGUGAUUGCAUGACAGUGCGCACUUGAUAUACCUAGAUGUAAACAAACCAAAACACCAUGUAGGCUACUUCCCAGGAGUGUAGGGGCGCUGUUGGGCAUAUUCACAUGACUUGACUUUUCUCCAUUCGUGGCAAUGCAUUAUCAUCUCCAGCUCUAGUAUAUAGGCUUCAUAUUAAGUAGAUAUUUUUGGAACAUAUUACAAUAAUUUACAGACAGAAUAAUCAACUGAAGGGGCCUAAAUGAGCUCAGUUUUAAAUUGUGAAAAAUAAGAGAAGCUAACCCCCUGGAUUUCUCCUAUUCUGUAUUGGCAUGACAGGAUGUACAAAUAACGUUAAGUCAGUGAGCAGGCUUGCCUCGUUUCUAUUGGGAACAUAAUUAAAUGUACACCUGCCAGAGAAAGCCUUUUUCACAAUAGGUGCUCGACACAACUGUUUGUGAUGCCACUUAUUGUUGACAGUCAAACCACAACCCACUGGGCAAAAACUGGUUGAAUCAAUGUUGUUUCCAUGUCAUUUCAACCCCAACAUUUUAUAUGACAACGUUGAAUCAACAUGAAAAACUGAUUGGAUUUGAAAAAAAGUAAUCAACGUAAAUGGAAUUUAGUAUUUUUUUCUCUUAACUUUUAACCUAAAUCCAAUGACCUAGUGACAUUUUUUGUUAAUUUAAUGUUGAAUUCAUGUUAGCUGACAACUCAACCAAUUGUAAAUUUGAACUAGAUGAACUGACAUCUGUGUCCAGUGGGAAGCUUCCCAGCCCUGGCUAAUGACCUUAAUUAUCGAUGUCUAGGUCCAUCCCAUUGCUUCACCCUGGGGGGCAGGUCAUGAAACUCCACAGGUGAAAAUGAUUCACAGUACAGGACCAUCACUGAUCGCCCCCACCAAGUAGAUCUGCCCAGUCACUAAAAAGAGUCUGUCAGUAUGCUAGUAUGUCAAAAAGAAAGGUGCAUUAAAAUAACUUCCCAUGUUAUAUUCUGAAUAGAAAGACGCAUUCAAGCUUGCAAGAUGCUGUAGACUGACUCGAUUAUUUUAUGUUUCUAUAUAUUUUGAUAUAUAAAAAAAGCUGUUUCAUAACAAAGAAUUCAAACGUUUACCAUACCCACCCUCUUACUGACCAGUUAAUGAUCUGGCCCACUUUCAGAGACAAGGAAAAUCUGUGACAUCAAUAGCAGUUUUUCUGCUGUUCCAGUCAAACAAACAGAAGCAGACACACGUGUUUAAGAACAACAUUUCUUAAUUUAAAAUUGCUGCAGUAUUUCACAAUGUUUUUGUUGAGGUCUAUGAAACAAAAACUUAAAAUGUGCAAUUUAAAUUAAUUUAGCAAAAUCAGGUGCUAUCUCUGUCUGCCAAUACUCUGCCUCUGUCAAUCCGUAGCAAUGACAGGAAAACAUCCAAACUAAAUGUUGUUGUUUACUGCAGGAACUUAAUCACAUGUAAAUUAAAUUGAGAAAAAAAAAGAGACACUGGCACCUGUCUUUACAACAGAGCCUUAUCCCUCCUACAUGGAGCUGAGAGUUUGGAUGGUGGAAUACUGCUGAGAGAUGACAGUGCUAAAAUUAAACCCCACUGCCUGCUGGAUGAUGAUGUAUAAAUAGACAAGUGGGAAGAAGCGGUGUUCGUUCACAGGCAUCAUUAUCAGCUCUGCACUUAAAGUGUUGCUGAGGGGAAAAACCUCUUGCGCAAUUUUUAUGUAUUUGCGUCGCUUUGUUAUAUUAAUACUAUAAUACUAUAAUAAUACUAUUUAUUUCCAAUACGUCACUGAGAUGCAAAACUCCAUUAGAGUAAUUAUCUGCAUAUACAGCAGUAAAUUGCUUCAUGUGAAGCCUAGUGAACCCAUGGACUACUGACCAAAGUAUUUGUACGAAACAGAAAAACCUGCAGAUCAUUUGUCUUCCACUCUCAGAUCAUGUGACAUGCAGCUUAUAUUUCACUACAGGCAGAGCAAGAGGUGGAACAGGAUAGUCCCUGGGGAGGUUCUCAGGGCGAUGAGGAAUGCAAUAUACCCUCAACACUUCAUGCCUCAAACCUUAUGUUUUUCCUCUGCCUCACUGCACCUCAGUGAAGUAGUCAAAAACGCUUUGCUGUGCCAUCUCCUUCAUCGUUUCUGCUAUCUAUCAUGUAAGUCAAUGUGCCCCUUCCUCUAACAAUUAUACAAGAUAUCCCAUACAAAACAUGGGGAUAGAUUACCAUUUUUCAUACGAUUAACUUUAACAGUUUUGAAUGUUAAUGUACCUCCAUUAUCUCAUUGCAUGUCAGCUAAAUUAGGACCUCUAAUCUAUCAGAGGAUAAUCUGUCAAUGCUUUGUCAUCACCUACCCCCCUCCACCCCUCCUGCAUGUUAUGUCAGUAUGCCUUAAAGUAUACAUGGCUCUACAAAAAUGUGUAUGUAUCACAUAGGCGUUGCAAUACCAACUGACACACUUGACAGCCUAAAAAAAAAAAAAAAAGGGCCACACAACGGCCUCCCUGUUUUGGUUUAAAAGGGAACGAUGCACCUUUAAAAGCAGUUGACAGUCUGGUGACUUGGUAAGCAAAAGUGAACUCAGCUCUGAAGCAGAAAACAGAGCAACUGCGAACAGUAUGGAGAAAUAGAGAGCGAGAAAACAAACAAAUGAAAGAGGGAAAGAAUUUGACAAUGUUGAAGCAGGGAGG
Molecule: non-coding RNA, 3651 nt
Organism: Oncorhynchus mykiss (rainbow trout)
Lineage: Eukaryota; Metazoa; Chordata; Actinopteri; Salmoniformes; Salmonidae
Source: RefSeq, a predicted model, not a curated record